This 253-nucleotide ribosomal RNA is filed under the name uncultured bacterium. RNAcentral describes it as "partial 16S ribosomal RNA". It matches the Rfam family "Bacterial small subunit ribosomal RNA", at positions 524 to 776 of the family's 1533-position model. The record is from RNAcentral.
UACGAGGGGGGCAAGCGUUGUUCGGAAUUAUUGGGCGUAAAGGGCGCGUAGGCGGUUUGACAAGUCUGAUGUGAAAUCUAUGGGCUCAACCCAUAGCCUGCAUUAGAAACUGUCGGGCUUGAGUACGGGAGAGGUGAGUGGAAUUUCCGGUGUAGCGGUGAAAUGCGUAGAUAUCGGAAGGAACACCUGUGGCGAAAGCGGCUCACUGGACCAUAACUGACGCUGAGGCGCGAAAGCUAGGGGAGCAAACAGG